UACGAAGGGGGCUAGCGUUGUUCGGAAUUACUGGGCGUAAAGCGCGCGCAGGUGGUCUUUCAAGUCAGUGGUGAAAGCCCGGAGCUCAACUCCGGAAAUGCCAUUGAAACUGUAAGACUUGAGGAUGAGAGAGGUGAGUGGAAUUCCCAGUGUAGAGGUGAAAUUCGUAGAUAUUGGGAAGAACACCGGUGGCGAAGGCGGCUCACUGGCUCAUAUCUGUCGCUCAGGCGCGACAGCGUGGGGAUCAAACAGG
This 253-nucleotide ribosomal RNA is filed under the name uncultured bacterium. Its description in RNAcentral is "partial 16S ribosomal RNA". It matches the Rfam family "Bacterial small subunit ribosomal RNA", at positions 524 to 776 of the family's 1533-position model. The record is from RNAcentral.